CAUUUAGGUCACUCUGCAUGUUAGCGAAGUUGAAAACCAAGCCAGUAAGCAGUGAGUGAUUUGAUGAAGCAGUGCUUCAGGUGUCUGCCUCUUUGAGUUCGCUGAAAAGUUGGAUCUUACAUAUUUAGCACCUGAAACAACCGAAGGCUUACGGAGGACACUGACAGACUGGGGCGAGGAGGGUCUCUGCCUCCCCUGAAGACCUGGACCACCCUCCACACCUGGCGGGAGCAGAUUCGGGCAAUUACAAUCAAGUCAGGGCACACGCCGCGGCGGAGCAACACGAGCAUGAUGAGGAUACUGAUGAGGCACUUAUCGAAAACCCCACAUCAUCCACACUCAUCAGCCACAACAUGUCACCCCAAAUGAGGCAUCAGCUGCCUUCAAAAGGCUCAUUGCACAGUGUUUACCGCUUCCCUCGGACCCACUUUUGAUUUUACGACAUGUUGAACUGCAAGAUUCCACUCGCGACGCCAGAAUUCGUCAAGAGGCCUGCAUUGUUGUUUCGCACUGAGGCAUAGGACCGGCUACAGGCCAUUGUUUCUCCAGCUCAAGUGGGCCUGUCUGGUUCGUGUUGGAAGAAUGAGGGUGACAUGCGUGAGUUCCCGAGUAUAAAAGAACUACUGGUUCUAGGAAGGAACAGGAGGUUAGCCACUAAUGCAGAGUAAAUAAACAUUUUUCACCACCUCUU
This 691-nucleotide long non-coding RNA is filed under the name Homo sapiens (human). RNAcentral's name for it is "HSALNT0209622". The record is from RNAcentral. Lineage: Eukaryota; Metazoa; Chordata; Mammalia; Primates; Hominidae.